AAUGAACGCUGGCGGCAGGCCUAAUACAUGCAAGUCGAACGGCAGCACAGUAAGCGUUCGCUUCUGCGGUUAGCGACUGGCGGGCGGGUAACACGUACAUAAGAUUCUUCUAUUUCGUGGGUGAUUUCGUGGGGCAGGUUCUACUACCACCUCAUAUGUUCUACCGGUGUAAUCAGAAGUUCUUGACACUCUGCCCGUUUGUUAUAGAUGAUUCCGGGCUGCAUUAGCUAGUUGGUAAGGUAACGGCUCACCAAGGCGACGAUGCGUAGCCGAUCUGAGAGGAUGAUCGGCCACACUGGAACUGAGACACGGUCCAGACUCCUACGGGAGGCAGCAGUGGGGAAUAUUGCACAAUGGGCGCAAGCCUGAUCCAGCCAUACCGCGUGAGUGAAGAAGGCCUUCGGGUUGUAAAGCCCUUUUGUUGGGAAAGAAAAGCAGCAGGUUAAUACCCCGCUGUUCUGACGGUACCCAAAGAAUAAGCGCCGGCUAACUUCGUG
Molecule: ribosomal RNA, 497 nt
Filed under: uncultured bacterium
Lineage: Bacteria
Description: partial 16S ribosomal RNA
Rfam family: Bacterial small subunit ribosomal RNA
Source: RNAcentral